This 253-nucleotide ribosomal RNA is filed under the name uncultured prokaryote. RNAcentral's name for it is "partial 16S ribosomal RNA". It matches the Rfam family "Bacterial small subunit ribosomal RNA", at positions 524 to 776 of the family's 1533-position model. The record is from RNAcentral.
UACGUAGGGUGCGAGCGUUAUCCGGAUUCACUGGGCGUAAAGCGCAUGUAGGCGGCUGGGAAAGUCAGCAAUGAAAGCCCCUGGCUCAACUGGGGGAGGCUUGCUGAGACUACUCGGCUGGAGGGCAGCAGAGGAGCGUGGAACUCCCGGUGUAGCGGUGGAAUGCGUAGAGAUCGGGAAGAACACCAGUGGCGAAGGCGGCGCUCUGGGCUGCACCUGACGCUGAGAUGCGAAAGUGUGGGGAGCAAACGGG